CUAACAGGAGCGUCCUUGGUCUCCUCACUCAGUAUUGUCACAGAGUCCUAGAAUGUGAUGUACCUGUUCAGUGGCAGCACUCCUGUGGCAGUUAUUGACUGAGAGGCACUCUAUAUGACUUCCAGGUGCCCUUGCAGUAGCAUGCAGUUCUCCUGGUACUUGAGAGUGUUGACUUUAAGGUGCCUCCUUUGUUGGCAAAUUUCCAGUUCCUUCUGCAUUACAUCUCUCCUUUGAAAAUACUGCAUUGAAUAAGGAUUUCACUUCUUUGGAGCUUUGCUCCUCUUUCACCUGGUUCCUGUGGUGAAAAUAAUUAAGAGUAAUUGGUUGCUAUAGAAAUAU
Molecule: long non-coding RNA, 339 nt
Filed under: Phasianus colchicus (ring-necked pheasant)
Lineage: Eukaryota; Metazoa; Chordata; Aves; Galliformes; Phasianidae
Description: lncRNA (ENSPCLG00000011480.1)
Source: RNAcentral